GGCAAGUGUGUGGGGUGCCAAGCCCUCCAGAGACUGCUGCCUGGGAGGCUCGGAGGCCAAGUCUGGGCAGUGGGCCUUGCUCCACCAGGGGAGCCUCUGGGCACUCAGUUUGCCCAGCCCCAGGCCUGCGGACAUGGGGCUCUGUUCGUCACAUGCUUUCAUGGGGGGUGCACAUUGCUAAUUGCUGACUUGCAGGGAAUGUGGGCACGACCUUAACACCGGGGCCAAAAAUAACACCAUUCCUGGAACCAGAGCAAGGGAUGGAGUGGCAUCUGCCAGAGUGGCCGUGUCCGGCAAGAACACUGUGCCCUGGAAUAGCAGUUGGUGGCUGGCAGAGGGAACAGGUGACCCACAGGAACUGGGCCGAGUGGACCGAGAAUGCUGGUCUCCCUGGAACCUGGCAGGCCUCCCGCUGGCCUGGAGCUGACGCAGGUCUCCGACAAGGCAGCCAUCUGUCUUCAGAGCUUUGCUGCAGAACCACACGGACCCUGCUGGGAGGACACAGCUGCUGCAGGAAAAUAGCACCGAGCGGCGCUCCAGGACCCUCAGGUCUGCACAGCUGCUGGGCCGUCUCCAGCAGGCUGGCCCUGGCAUGGGGUGGGGAGAGCACAGUAGGUCCUCGGCCACACUGAGACUAAAAACAAGCCCCGCAGCCACUGCCUCGGGCACAAGUCCGUCCGCAGGCGUCUUCUGAAGCAUGGACUCAAACAACGGCCAAGAAAAUGCAAAAGAACAUCACAGACGAGGUCAUCUCGGGCAGAUUUCCACAGUCCACCACGGCCGGGGAUGCACUUGGCUGCAAACGGCGGGCCAGCUGGCCUGCACCCCACCCGGGUCGGGGUGAGUUUGGGGACGUAGUAAGGGCUCAGUAAAGACUUCGAGCCCCGGACUAAGCAACCUGCAGCGUGCGAGCCUCCCAGCUGGCUGAGGGUUGGAUCUCUGGGACGGCGUGGGAACAGGCCGGGCGUGUGUGCAGGCAGGCCCACGAUCCUGGCACACCGAGAGCUGGCAAGGGGGCAUCUCAGCGUGGUCAGACCUUGCUGAGGUGCGCCUCUCUCCCCCUCAUGCAUGUGUGCUGUCAUGAAUCAAAUAAAGGAAAAACCCUA
Molecule: long non-coding RNA, 1106 nt
Organism: Tupaia belangeri chinensis (Chinese tree shrew)
Lineage: Eukaryota; Metazoa; Chordata; Mammalia; Scandentia; Tupaiidae
Exons: 3
Source: RefSeq, a predicted model, not a curated record